AUUGAACGCUGGCGGCAGGCCUAAAACAUGCAAGUCGAACGAGUGGCGGACGGGUGAGUAAUGUCUGGGAAACUGCCCGAUGGAGGGGGAUAACUACUGGAAACGGUAGCUGAUACCGCAUACCAUCGGAUGUGCCAAGAUGGGAUUAGCUGGAUGGUGGGGUAACGGCUCACCUCGGCGACGCUCCCUAGCUGGUCUGAGAGGAUGACCAGCCACACGGGAACUGAGACACGGUCCAGACUCCUACGGGAGGCAGCAGUGUUGAAUAUUUCCCAAUGGGCGCAAGCCUUCUGCAGCCAUGCCGGGUGCAUGAAGAAGGCCUUCGGGUUGUAAAGUACUUUCAGCGAGUAGGCGUUACUCGCAGAAGAAGCACCGGCUAACUCCUUGCCAGCAGCCGCGGUAAUUC
Molecule: ribosomal RNA, 406 nt
Filed under: uncultured bacterium
Lineage: Bacteria
Description: partial 16S ribosomal RNA
Rfam family: Bacterial small subunit ribosomal RNA
Source: RNAcentral